CAUAUAAGGUUGAAACAUCGGUUCUCGUACGAUCACCGAAGUUAAGCAACGUCGUGCCUGGUCAGUACCUAGGUGGGUGACCGCUUAGGAAUACCAAGUGUU
Molecule: ribosomal RNA, 102 nt
Filed under: Acanthosepion pharaonis
Lineage: Eukaryota; Metazoa; Mollusca; Cephalopoda; Sepiida; Sepiidae
Source: RNAcentral